RNAcentral lists this long non-coding RNA (2184 nucleotides) under Zea mays. Its description in RNAcentral is "long non-coding RNA (ZMAY_LNC005468)". Lineage: Eukaryota; Viridiplantae; Streptophyta; Magnoliopsida; Poales; Poaceae. The record is from RNAcentral.
UCAAUGUCACAUCUUUAUUAUAUAAUAGAAGUUCUGUACAAAAUAGCUUAAUAAAUACAUCAUAUGACAACGAUCCUCCGCAACUUUAGUUGACUGGAAGACGAUGGCCUAAACCUCUUCGAACUCAUCGUAGCAUCCUUCAUGCUCCUCCAACGGUACCUAUACUUGACCUGGUGUGAUUAUAGCAAGGGUGGGCUCCCAUACGGUUAUCGCUCAACAAGUGUGGAGAAAAGUGUAGUGUAAGGCUUACCAAGGAGAAUGGUUAAGGCUGAGCAUUGCUGUUAGUGUUCGUCAAAAUUUUAUUAACAAUUACUAGGUAUAAGUAAAAACCAACCCAAUUAAAUAAUUGAUCACAAUUAAUAAUAAAUCCAAGAAUGCAAUGAAAAUAACAUGUUAAGUUUAAUUCCAUAAAUUACUCUUGUGAGGGUCCGAGCCGCUCUUGACCUUGAGCACGGCUAAUAUACCAGUUUUACACUCUGUAGAGGUUGCACAUCUUUAUCCACAAGCCGUGUUACCCAUUUGCCAAGGGAUCACGACUUCCCAUUCAUCUCUACCGAGAAGACGAGGUAGGGUCCCACUACGAGGCCUUUACAAAGUUCCACUAGCUUCAAAAAACCCGCUACGGUUUCUGCAAGAAUGGACGAUAUAGGAAUCCCUCUUCCAAAAAGCCAUCAUAGCAUGAUUGACCUGAGAACCUCCCUAUACCGACAGCUCCUCACACCACGAUUGUCCCUUUCGGGUAAGGUAGUCGUCCACUAGCUUUUUUAUUUAGUCAGCCAAGGGCGUUCCAUACCACCCUUGUGGUAACACUAUUUUUCAGGUGGUUCUCCAUGUUCCAAUUAACACAAUGAUCUUAUCAUGAACAAUAAUAGAUGACCAACUAUACUAAAUAAUAAUCGAACAUGGUCAUGAAUCAUAAGUAUCAUUAAUCCCAAAACCAGGUCGAGCAAUAGCAAGUCUACCCAAUAAGUCAUUUGUUUGUAAGGUGCAGGGUAAACAAACUAGGUAACCUAUUAGGUCUCAUUAGCUUAACCUAACAGUGCCACAGUGAUUAACGAAACAUUAUUAGAUAAAAGAAUGUGAUCAAGGACACAACUUGCCUUUGUGGUGCAACUUCAGGUAUUUCUCCAAGUUUGAGCUUCAGGUUCCUCAUGACCUCGCUUCUAUUCGUAGCAACACAUACAAAUAAACAAAUAAUGGCUAUGAUAACAUUACACCAAUGCAUUAGAACAAACAGCGUAAGAAUAUUCUACGCAUCAACACGAAUCUGUAGGUUCAAGAACCGCUAAAUUCAGAGUUAAAAUGAAUUAGGUAUGAGUUUUAUAAGUCAUAUGAAUUAUUUUAUAUUAAAAUCAACAUUUUAGAUUUAAUUUAAUAAGAUCUGGACUAUGGUUAUUAAUUAUAUAGUGACUAGGGGCUAAACUAUAAGAAUCAUGGACCUUACUUAUAUUCUCUUGAACCAGGUAUGGACAACGAGUUUAUUUCGUAAAAACAUAGGGACUCUUUUGCAACUUUCCUCGACCGAAGGGGUAUCGUGAUGCCUCAGUCGCCCGAUUAUAAAUUUAUGGCGCUGAUUAAUUUGUCACCCUACUGAACCGGUACACAACCGGAUCCGUUGGAUCUCGAAUCAAUAGCAUGAGAGACGUCCACGUCUCAAACUACUCUGCACCCUCCAUCAUCGGUCCUACGAUUCAUAUUAUAAACAAGCAAUGGGUUAUGAGUAAUCUAAUCAUAGCCGUCCAUUCCAGAUCGAUGGCCCAAAAUUCAUCUUCCCACUCGUCGGACAACAAGCGGUGAUGCCGCAUGCCCACGACGACUGAUCACCGAUGAAUCUCGUUUGUGCAUUCUGGUGUUCUAACGACUACAUGGAUAAGUGCUAACCGAUCCUGAGUAUAUGGCGAACUAGUGGUGCGGGCUCUCACCUUCAAUUUGGGUGCCAGAGCAUGUAGACCGCGCGGCACCACGGUUUGGCGAAACGACGAGUCUCCGAUGAGGAAUCCCCAGUGACCUAGUCGACCUCCGGCUUCAACGACUUCGUGCAUGGUUUCCCUACGCCCUAGUGAACUCCAUAGACCACUGACAAAAUCCUGAGUGAUAACGUAAGCAAGUGGUCACGACAACGGCUAUCUUGCGAUGCGUUCUUAUCUACGACUCUCGGUGGCGGCUGCUUGCGGUGGCGGUGGC